RNAcentral lists this ribosomal RNA (653 nucleotides) under Nullosetigera auctiseta. Its description in RNAcentral is "partial 28S large subunit ribosomal RNA". It matches the Rfam family "Eukaryotic large subunit ribosomal RNA", at positions 87 to 667 of the family's 3401-position model. The record is from RNAcentral. Lineage: Eukaryota; Metazoa; Arthropoda; Copepoda; Calanoida; Nullosetigeridae.
UGGCGAUGAACGGAAUAGCCCAUCGCCGAACUGCAGGCCUUCUCGGUCUCGCGGAAUGUGGCGUUUGGGAGAGUCUUCUCGUAGUGUGGACGGCCAGUCAAAGUCCAACUUGACAGUGGCCAUGGCCCAUAGAGGGUGAUAGGCCCGUAAGGCGGCUGUCCUGCUACGCUGACUUUUCCCUAGAGUCGGGUUGCUUGGGAGUGCAGCCCAAAGUGCGAGGUAAACUCCUCGUAAGGCUAAAUAUGACCCCGAGACCGAUAGCAAACAAGUACCGUGAGGGAAGAUUGAAAAGAACUUUGAAGAGAGAGUUCAAGAGUACGUGAAACUGUGUGGUGGUAAACAGAGGGGUUCUCGAAGUUUCUGAGGGGGACUCAACCUUGGAGGCGGUGGGCCUGGCCAUUUUAGAUCAGCAAUGACUUUGUGUCUAGUCCCCAGCUCCUCUCGGACGCACUUUCUCCUCAGUUUACGGCAGGAACUGUUAGGAGUGAACCAAAGGCCCGUGGUGAAGUUGAUUUCGGUCAGCCCUCGGUGUCCUGGCUUUGCACCUGACAGGUAUGUAAGCAGACUCGUAUAGCGAGCAAUUCUCUAUUGCAGUUUGCAUCUCUCUGCCGAGUAGGUCGGUGGCCCCUCUGACCCGUCUUGAAACACGGACC